ACGGGUGAGUAACACGUGGGUGAUCUGCCCUGCACUUUGGGAUAAGCCUGGGAAACUGGGUCUAAUACCGAAUAUGACCACGCUCUUCAUGGGGUGUGGUGGAAAGCUUUUGCGGUGUGGGAUGGGCCCGCGGCCUAUCAGCUUGUUGGUGGGGUAAUGGCCUACCAAGGCGACGACGGGUAGCCGGCCUGAGAGGGUGACCGGCCACACUGGGACUGAGAUACGGCCCAGACUCCUACGGGAGGCAGCAGUGGGGAAUAUUGCACAAUGGGCGCAAGCCUGAUGCAGCGACGCCGCGUGAGGGAUGACGGCCUUCGGGUUGUAAACCUCUUUCACCAGGGACGAAGCGCAAGUGACGGUACCUGGAGAAGAAGCACCGGCCAACUACGUGCCAGCAGCCGCGGUAAUACGUAGGGUGCGAGCGUUGUCCGGAAUUACUGGGCGUAAAGAGCUCGUAGGUGGUUUGUCGCGUUAUUCGUGAAAACUCACAGCUUAACUGUGGGCGUGCGGGCGAUACGGGCAGACUAGAGUACUGCAGGGGAGACUGGAAUUCCUGGUGUAGCGGUGGAAUGCGCAGA
This 578-nucleotide ribosomal RNA is filed under the name uncultured bacterium. RNAcentral's name for it is "bacterial SSU rRNA". It matches the Rfam family "Bacterial small subunit ribosomal RNA", at positions 102 to 694 of the family's 1533-position model. The record is from RNAcentral.